Molecule: long non-coding RNA, 14171 nt
Filed under: Brassica napus (rape)
Lineage: Eukaryota; Viridiplantae; Streptophyta; Magnoliopsida; Brassicales; Brassicaceae
Description: long non-coding RNA (BNAP_LNC016079)
Source: RNAcentral
CUACAUGGAGAAUACUCCAGCGUAUGUCGCGCCGGAAGAUGUGUACACGACGUACCGUACAAUGGGUAACGCCGAGCAUCCUAGGCUGAACCAGAACUUCAAUCUGACAUGGCUCUUCCCAGUUGAUGCCGGGUUUAACUACCUCGUCAGGCUUCAUUUCUGUGAGACUCUAUCGGAUGUGAACGGACCGGGCCAACGUGUCUUCACCAUCUUCAUUGGAAAUAAGAUUGCAAAGCUUGACAUGGAUGUCAUUCAGCUGAGCGGUGGUUCUCGCAUUCCGGUGUAUCUAGACUUCAGUGUGCUUGUUGGUUUUGAAAGUGGGCCGCGACCUGAUCUACGACUUGACUUGCAUCCUUACACGGACAGUGGCCCAAAGUAUUACGAUGCUAUUCUCAAUGGCGUAGAGAUCCUCAAGCUUAGUGUCUCUGGCGGAAAUCUUGCUGGACCUAAUCCUAAUCCUACGUCAGGUCUUACUCCAAACUCUGUAAAUCAAGAUAUACAAAAACCCAAAGCCAAGUCACACGUUUUGGUAAUAACACUUGGAACUGUUGGGUUUGCAAUUGUGUUAGCAAUGUUUAUUGUUGUUGUCAUCGUCAUGAAGAGGAGGAAGAAGAAAAAGAAGGUUAAUGUAGACACCAAGAGCAAGCCUACGGACUCGUGGACUACUCUUCCGCUUGUUGCCGGGUCCUCCCAUACCAGAUCGACCACAUCUCUUCCAUCCGAUCUCUGCCGUCGGUUCUCCAUCCUCGAGAUCAAAUCCGCCACAAACAAUUUCGAGAAAAAGCUGAUCGUUGGAGUAGGCGGGUUUGGUCCUGUCUACAAAGGAAGAAUCGACGGUGGAGCCACGCUUGUGGCUGUUAAACGGUUAGAUGUUUCAUCCAACCAAGGCGCUACCGAGUUCGAAGCAGAGCUCAAGAUGCUCUCGGUGCUCCGUCAUAUACAUCUCGUUUCCUUAAUCGGAUAUUGCGACGAUGUUCCUCUCUCUCUCUCUCUCUCUCUCUCUCUCUCUCUCUCUCUCUCUCUCUCUCUCACGAAACGUACAACUAGUUAAACUGGUACAACUAUUAGCAGUUGUACAACAAAUAAUUGCUUGGCUACAACAGCGACAAAAAUGCUAGCGACAACGACUACGAAGAAACCAUCUACGAAGAAAGAAGCGACGAAGAAAGCAACAGUGAGGGAAGCAGAAACGAGGGAAACGAAAACGAGGGAAGUGAUAAAUGAGUUUUGCUUAUGUGUUAUGAACAUUGCUUAUGUGUUGUGGAACUUAUUCAUGUGUUAGGGAUGCUAUUUAUGUGUUUUUAAACUUUGCAAUGGAGAAAAUUUGUAAUGUAUUGUUUCUGUCAGAUAUUACUGGUACAAUUGGUACUUCAUAUAAUACACAUUCAUGUUUAUGUGUUAUAACACUGGAAAAACUAGUACAACUAUACAAGUUGUAAAGUCUUUAGAAUGGUACAUCCUAACUAUUAGAAGUUUUAUCAAAAAAAAUCCGCAAUUAUAAACAAUCACAUAAGUUUCCAUUAUUUACCUUAUAAUUUAAAGGUUUGUUUACUUGUUUGUUCACUAUAUUUUUGAAAAAUAUACACUGGAUAUAUUUUAACAAAGUUAAUGAUUCCAUAGUAUGUGAUUCUAGGUAUUUAAAUAUAUACAAGUAGUACAACUGAUGUAUCUUUAUUUAAUAUUUGGUACAACUAGAUAUUUCAAAUUCUGGACCAAAAUACAACUAUGUACAAACUUGUACAACCCAAAACUCGGUACAACUAUGUAUACGAUUGUACAACUAAAAUAUUGGUACAACUACAUGUUAAUAAAUUUGGCACAUUUUAAUUGUUUACCACAUUUAAAUGCUCACUACGUUUUAAACAUGAUAGUUUUACCUUCUUUCGUUUAGUUGUACAAAUUGUACCCGUCAGAGUAAUUUUGUCAUAGUUAAUCUGGUUAAUUUAAUUAUACCAAAAACCUGUCAAGUUUAAACCUUUUGAAUUAACCCUAAAAACUUUUAAAUGUGCACUUUAACCUAUAUGGUAUUAUGCAUAUGCAAUAGAAACAUUUAGAUUCAUCUUAAAUAGUUUAAAUGUCUAAAAAAUGUUAAAAUGUAUUAAAUUCAUGAGAUAUAAAUAUUUCAUGUUUUAAACAUGAUUUUGUAUCAUUCAUUUAUUUUCUGGUAAAACCAUUCAUUUACUGGUAAAACUGGCAUAACAUUACAUUGUAUCCAAAAUUGUAUUUCUAGUAUAACUGUCAUUUCAAAAUUGAGAAAAUAGUGUGGGUUAUUGGUUAUACUAUUUUGAUAGAUUUACAAUUUUUUUAGAUUUAGAAAUCUUUGAUAAAUCCAUGAUUUUUAAAUCAAACAAGUGGAUUUUAAGAAUAAUUUAUGUAUUGCAAAAUCUAAAUAGAUUACUACCCAAUGUUAAAACAACAUAACUCAAGUUCUAGCACAAUUAAACUAGUAAUACUACUAUUGUAUCUAAACUAGUUGUACCACUUAUAUUAUUAUUGUCGUAGUCCAAACACCAAACAUGAAUGUUUAUGCAUCAUUUUCGAACUCAAAAAUGAUUUUUACAUAUUCCUUUGCACUUUGUUCUACUAAAUCUUCAUCUACUGUAAUUUUUUUCUAGCUUGCCAUCCACCGUCUUCGGCUUCGGAAGCAAAAAGAUGAAGAUGCAUAUUUUUUUGAAAAUAGUACAACUAGUAUAACUAGUACAACUUGCAAAUAAAUCAUUAUUAAAAUCAAAUAUUAUUGAAAAUUUACUAUUCAUGUAUUUUGACACAUGCAAGCGGGGAAGGUUAGAUCAACAUGUCUCAUUGGUUUCACAUCAUCCACUUUUCUAGCAUCACUCAUAUGCUGAAAUAAAAACGAAAUAUUGUCAUACUAAUUACAAAGUUAUACUAGUUAUACGCGUUUUAGUUGUACCAGUUAUACUUAAUGUAUUAGUACUAGUUAUAUUUGUUUUAGUUGUACUAGUUAUACUAGUGCGCGUUGUACUAGUUGUAUUAGUUAGAGUCAUACUAGUUGUACUGUACGCUGGGUUUUUUUUUGUCAUGAAUUUCGUGAGAAAAAAAUAAAAUUCAAUUUUUGAUAAGACAUAAUUGGUUACAUACAACUAUGGGUUGACCAAUUUUGGAUAAGAAAAAGAAAGUUAGUGAAUAUUUGAAGGAAAUUUUUGAUUUUUUAAAGGUGAAAGAAACAUCCAUGGAAAAAUAAAAAAAAGGAAGAAGAAAAAGAUGUUAUGUUGAUAACGAUGUGUGUCCCAGAAUUUGAUCCCAUAGAAUCGUAGAAACCGUGUUAUGUUGCAUCAUUUUAAAGUGGAAUGACACACGAACAAGUUGGACGUAUAACGACAAGGUGCUAAAUUAAAAGACAUGGAAGAAGUUUCGUCGGAAACUUCUUCUUUUGCUUGAGCUGAAAAGUCAGUUAAGGGUUGACCCGUUGACUUACUCACCACCACCCAUGGUUUUGCUUCAGUUUCUUAUCUUCUUCUUUACCAUUCACAAUAUCAUUCAACAACUCUCACUCUAUCAGUUCCUAUGACUUUUCAAGUUUUCUUAAUCUUCUCCAUUCUCGUUUCUACAGCCAUAGCAGGAGACGGUGCAACCGCUGCGUACGUUCCCACUGAUAUCUUUCUCUUCAACUGUGGCGAAACAUCCAACCAGAUGGACAUAAGUGGCCGUAACUGGAUGGCAGAGCAACCAAAUAUUCUUCCGUCAAAUGCAGCCAUAGCGUCGUUUGUUUCACAUGCGUCAUUCCAAGGAUCGGGAGUUCCUCAGGUUCCGUACAUGACUGCUCGAAUUUUCCGACAUGAUUUCACCUACAGUUUUCCCGUGUCUCCGGGCUGGAAGUUCCUCCGGUUAUACUUUUACCCUACCCGUUACAGUUCCGACCUCGAAGCUGCCGUAAACUCCUACUUCUCUGUCACCGUCAACGGUUUUACUCUCUUGAAGAACUUCCGUGCCGAUUUAACGGCAAAGGCUUCUCAUGAUGCGUCCAUAUUUAAGGAGUUCAUAGUCCCUGUUUCGAGUGGAUACACGAUGCUAAAUCUCACGUUCUCACCUUCUUUAAACAUGUUAGCUUUCGUGAACGGCAUCGAGAUUGUCUCCAUGCCUGAUCGGUUUUACUCCAAGGGAGGCUUCGACGACAAAAUAAAACAGGUAGGUAAUAGCAUUGACUUCGAGAUAAACAACAGCACGGCUUUCGAAACUGUUCACCGGCUAAACAUCGGUGGACAACUGAUUGACGGCAUAAGUGAUACAGGGAUGUUCCGGCCGUGGCUUGCUGAAAAGUUUCAACUAAGUGAAAAGUCGGGAAUCGUGCCAGUCGUUCCGGGUGUAAAGAUCAACUACAUGGAGAAUACUCCAGCGUAUGUCGCGCCGGAAGAUGUGUACACGACGUACCGUACAAUGGGUAACGCCGAGCAUCCUAGGCUGAACCAGAACUUCAAUCUGACAUGGCUCUUCCCAGUUGAUGCCGGGUUUAACUACCUCGUCAGGCUUCAUUUCUGUGAGACUCUAUCGGAUGUGAACGGACCGGGCCAACGUGUCUUCACCAUCUUCAUUGGAAAUAAGAUUGCAAAGCUUGACAUGGAUGUCAUUCAGCUGAGCGGUGGUUCUCGCAUUCCGGUGUAUCUAGACUUCAGUGUGCUUGUUGGUUUUGAAAGUGGGCCGCGACCUGAUCUACGACUUGACUUGCAUCCUUACACGGACAGUGGCCCAAAGUAUUACGAUGCUAUUCUCAAUGGCGUAGAGAUCCUCAAGCUUAGUGUCUCUGGCGGAAAUCUUGCUGGACCUAAUCCUAAUCCUACGUCAGGUCUUACUCCAAACUCUGUAAAUCAAGAUAUACAAAAACCCAAAGCCAAGUCACACGUUUUGGUAAUAACACUUGGAACUGUUGGGUUUGCAAUUGUGUUAGCAAUGUUUAUUGUUGUUGUCAUCGUCAUGAAGAGGAGGAAGAAGAAAAAGAAGGUUAAUGUAGACACCAAGAGCAAGCCUACGGACUCGUGGACUACUCUUCCGCUUGUUGCCGGGUCCUCCCAUACCAGAUCGACCACAUCUCUUCCAUCCGAUCUCUGCCGUCGGUUCUCCAUCCUCGAGAUCAAAUCCGCCACAAACAAUUUCGAGAAAAAGCUGAUCGUGGGAGUAGGCGGGUUUGGUCCUGUCUACAAAGGAAGAAUUGACGGUGGAGCCACACUUGUGGCAGUUAAACGGUUAGAUAUUUCAUCCAACCAAGGCGUUAACGAGUUCGAAGCAGAGCUCAAGAUGCUCUCGAUGCUCCGUCAUAUACAUCUCGUUUCCUUAGUCGGAUAUUGCGACGAUGAGAACGAGAUGGUUCUUGUCUACGAGUAUAAGCCACAUGGCACACUUAGAGACCAUCUCUACAAGAGAAACAAGGUUUUUGAUCCCCCAUUGUCGUGGAAACGGAGGCUAGAGAUUUGCGUCGGUGCGGCUCGUGGACUACAGUAUCUCCAUACAGGCGCGAAGGACAUGAUCAUUCAUAGAGACAUCAAAACUACAAACAUACUUCUUGAUGAGAACUACGUAGCUAAAGUCUCCGACUUUGGGUUAUCAAAAGUGGGUCUUACAAGCUCAUCUCAAACGCACGUCUCAACGGUCGUUAAAGGAUCGUUUGGUUACUUGGACCCUGAGUAUUAUCGCCGUCAAGUCUUGACGGAAAAAUCUGACGUGUACUCCUUCGGAGUUGUUCUGUUCGAAGUCUUGUGUUGUAGACCGGUCAAGCUCGAAAGCGCUCCACGAGAGGAAGCAGAUUUGAUCCGAUGGGUGAAGUCAAAUUACAAAAAAGGAACCGUUGAUCAGAUCGUUGACGCAGAUCUAACGGCUGAGAUUACUCCGCUAUCGCUGGAGAAAUUCUGUGAGAUCGCUGUGCGAUGUGUUCAAGAUCGUGGUAUCGAACGGCCAUCAAUGAACGACGUCGUUUGGGCGCUUGAGUUCGCACUUCAGCUUCAUGAAGCUGCUAAGGAUAAGAAUGGCGUGGACUCUCUUGAUAUCCCGAGACGUGACGAGGUAGGUACGACGACAGACGGAGAAAAUAACUUGUUUAGUAGGACUACGGGACGCAUGUCAAAAUCUGUGACGAGCGAUGAUGAUUCUGCUCGUCUUGCUGGCGACGAGAGGAGCGGAUCGAGUUGGGGAGUAUUUUCGGAGAUAAAAGACCCCAGAGCACGGUAAAUUGUUGAAUAUGUAAUAUGUAUAUAUAACUGUUGAAAAAAAACAUAAUAUGUAAGUUUUUUUGUGUACUAUAUUUUCUGUUUUGAAUCAUAUGAGUCGUAUAAUGUCUAAUUUACCAUGUAUUUAACUUGUUACAUAAACAAACAUACCUAAAAUAGUUAAAAUAAAUAAUUUUCUUAAAAAUGUUACUGCAUGAACGUAUAGAAACUCAGUAGUCACAGUUUUUUAUUUUAUUUAGAAACUCAUUAAGCACAUUUCCUACAAUACCUCUAACCCUUAAAUUUUGAAGUAUUUUCUUUCCAAUAAGUUCAGCAUGGUAUCUCGGCUUUUAGUAGAAUUGAAAUUGGUCUAUUCUCGUUUCUCUUCUAUCAUUCUCCUCCGAUGAGUUCAGCAUGGUAUAACCGAUCCAUUUCGGGAUCUCCUCAACUUCUCCUGCUAUCUUCGGGCUUCGAUCUCGCCUCGUUUGAACUCGCCCGCGCGAGUUGGGCCCUUUCUACAUUCAAAGCUGUACGGCCCAUCUUUUAUCCGACCCAAUCAUAAUUUGACCGAAAUUGGAUCCAACGCCAUCUAAACUACACCACCUACAGACCUACUCUUCAUCCCUCUACUUUACACAUUUCCACGAUAUGCCAACCUACCCAAUGUACAUCCACGAAAUUCCCGUCCAAAAUAAAUCUAUCCAGAACUCACUAAUUCAUAACCCACUUAUCUGUUUUCAAAUUUAAGCAGUGAGUAUUGCAUUUGCAGGACCAUCCAUCCAUCCAAGCCUCAACGAUCCAUGAGCGUGUCAUUGGCCAGACUUAACUCAUACACAGAUCACCCAUUAAAGUCUCACCCAUUGACGUUGCAUCCAUCCUUGCGAACGUCCACCAAAUGUCAUCCACAAUUUUGUUAAACCACUAGUCGUACACUAACUUAAAUCCACUAACACCAACUAAACUUUCAUAAGCAUAUUCUCAAAUUCAACCCUUGUAUCCCCAAAACAAAUUCUUUAAUUUUUACAAGUUUGAAAAGGUGGUCAUACAAAUGUGUUAAUACAUUUCAAACAUCCCUCUCAAACUGUAUUCUAUGAUAUCAUGUCUAUGAUUUAUAAUUUUUCAAAACUUGUUGGCAGAAACAUGUCCACACUCCACACAAUAUUGUAAAUGAUAUCAAUGUAUUAUUUUCUAUGAUAUACAAUUUAUCAAGACAUGUCUACUAUAUUAUUGAAUAAUUUAAAGUCAUUAAUUAUUAUAUAUAUAACUAAAUUGGCGUGAGAACACAAAUUAAAACAAUUAGUGUUAUUUAUUACAAUCAUUUUUGAUGGUAAAUUAAUCUAAAAAUCAUUUAUAUAUUUUAUAUGAUAUAUAAUUAAAUUUCAAUGAUUUUAAUAUAGAUAUAAAGUAUAUUUUUAAUAGGAUAUCUGUUAAAUGAUUUUUUAUACUCAUAUGGUUUUAUGAUCAUUUGUUUAUUUUCUAAUAUAAAUUUAAAUUAUUGAAAAAAAAAAUUUCAAUGUGAGACUUUUAAGGGAAAAUUUCAUUUUUGCCACUUUUAUGGUACCACUUUUCAUCUUUACCACCACUAAGGUGUUGACUAGUUUCUCCGCUACCACCCGCAAACGCAUCUUUUGCGGUUGGUAACAGUUGACAGUGUUUCGAAACAAUCAUACAAACCGCUACAAAUCGCUUCAAACCGCUCCGAACCUCUUAAAAUCAAAAGCUGGUUCCAGCUAGCAUUUGCGGUUGCGAGCUGUUGCGGGAUGAUAAUUUUUUUUCCUUUUUAUUAAAACAUAUAAAUACAAAAAUAAAAAUAAAAAUAAAAAUUUAAAAUUGGAAUUAUAAAAAUACUAAAAUAUAUCUAUUAUAUUUUAAUUACUAUUAUAAAAUUGUAAAAUAAAAAUAUUUUCUAUAAUUUAAAAAAAUUUAAAACUAUAACUUUCUAAAUAUAAUUUUCAUAUUAUUAUAAUAUUAUGAUUUUUGAUAUUUUAUAAUUAAAUAAAAUGUAAAUAUUGUUAAUUUAUUAUUUAACCGCUACUGUAUUUGGUAGUUAACCAGUCAUAAGUAUCCCGCAAAUACACCAAUUUCUAACCACAUAACCAGUCAUACAAAUCUCUUAAAACCGUUAGAAACCGCAGCCACAUGCAUCCGCAAACUCCCACAACCGCAACCGCUGCGUUUGAACCAGUCAGACCCUUAAACGAACAUUUUCAAAAAUACAUUCUUCAUUAAGUUGCAAAAGACUCUUAUACCAUUUUUCUCUAUUUUUUUAUGUUUUCAAAUUAUACUUCUUCAAAUUCGAACUUUUUUAUAAAUUUUUAUUUUUGAAUUUUCUUUUUAAAAUUUUUUUUUAUUUAUUUUUUUUCAAAAUUUCUUUUGAAAAUCGAAAAUUAUGUUUGAAACUAUUUUUAAAAAUAAAAUUAAAUUUUUUAAAGUAUUUAUUUAUAUAUUUAUUAGAAUCCUAAAUUUCACAUUCCAAAAACCAUACCACACCUUUCAACUCUAAACCCUAAGUCUAGAUUAGUUAACCCUAGUGGUAUAAAUAUCUUUUAUCUUUCAUUAAAAUGGUAAAAAUGGUUAAUGUAAACAUGAAAAAUGUUAGUAUGAAUGUGAUAUUUGUGACAAUUUUCUGACUUUUAAUAGUUUUAAUAAUUUAUCAUCGUUCUUGAAAAUUCAAUAUAAAUUUUAAAAUUAAAUAUUAAGUUUUCAAUACUUUGUUCGAUGCAAAAUUUGAAAUUUAAUUAUAUAUUUUUAUAUAGUAUAUAGUUUACUUUAAAUGAUAUUAUAUAUAUAUUUAUUUAUUUUUAUCUGAACAAGUCUUAUAACUACCAAAGUAUAAUUUUGAUACUAAAUAUCUAAAAUUUUAAAAUCGUUUGACUAUUAAAAAUAUAUCAUAAGUAUAUAAACAAAAUCCUAUGUCAAUGAAUAUUAAAUAUGUAUUUUUUAAUAUCUAAAGUUUAUAUUACUCUUAUAAAUAAGUUUCCUUCCACUUUGGAAUCAAAUUAGAUUUGACUCGUGUCAUUCAGGGAUCCCUUGUCAUUCAUUCUAAUUCUGUAUUUGCUUCUCAAUUUCGAUCAGUGUCUCCUACUUUAACGUUUUUAUAUGAGUUCUUGAUAGCUUUAAUUUAUGUGUGGGAAUUUACACUCCUCACAUAAAAAUGUCCUUUUAGUCCUUAAUUUUCUAUCUUCACAGGCUAUUAUUCUUAUGGUUCAUCAUCCUGACAAAACCACAAUUCCAUUCACCGGUAGCGGACAAAACACACACGAGCAAGUUGGACAUAAACGACACAGCACUAAAUUGUUGACAUGGUAGAAUUUUCAUGGAAGCUUUCUUCUUUUGCUUGGUUCUUAGAAGUCAUUCAAUGGUCGACCCGUAGUAGACUCACACACGACAGAACCACGCAUGGCUUGGCUUCAAUAUACACUCACAAUCUCAUAUCUCGUCUCCAUCACUCUCAAUCCUUCGACAAUUAGCUAAAGAUCUUUAUUUCUGACACAGAAAAAAGUUAUUUCAUUGCUCAAAACUUGAAGUAGUCCGUGUAACCAGAUCAGAACAUAACAAUUUAUAAAACCAAAAUUUUUAUCUCUAUGAAAAAAAACUAGCCAUUUUGCUGAAAAAUCUACAUCUCCAUUUUGACCGCUAAGGCGAACAUGCCGUGCCUUGCUCCGGUUUGUUAUGUAAUCAACUGACCGCGAGGUGACCGGAUCUUUGAUGUUUAUUCGUAGACUUGAAGCUUACUACCUCGGGCUGCAAAGCACCCCUUUUGGGCAGAAAUAGUUGGGCUUUGCCGAUGAACUGUGUCUUCAUUGUCUGUUUAAUCCGUCGUGAGUAGAACUUUUCUGGGCCGGAUUUUUAUGAUAAAUUCGUCUGCAACAGACAGCUGGGUAACGCCCGUGCCGGUGGGAUUAGCUCCGACCAUCUUUGAUCUUUCUUGGCAUUGAUUUCUAAUUCCUUAGAGACGGUGCAUUUGUUUACUCUGAAUUCGAGAUGUAUGAGAUGAAGUUACAAAUUCGAUGGUGAGUUAUUUGAAAGACUAAGUAAUCGUAAAGAGAUGAUGAAAUCGGCAAAAACAUUAAAGUUGUGUAAACCCUAGUUCUUGUGCCAAUUUUUGUAUGACUGUAAAUGUGUUUGUUUUCCUCGAUCUUCUCCUUGUAUAGCCGACUUUUUUAUUUUUAUUUCUCCAAAUCAGUGCAUUUAUUUGACCGCCUUUUAGUAAAUUGGGUCGCGCUCAAUUAUUUGAUAGACUUUAUUUGAGGGAUGUAAUUCAUCUCCAACACCCUAGAUUAUGUACCAUUGCUAACAACUCCUUCCAAUAUGUCCUAAAAUUCUCACCGUUAGAGUACUAUAGCAUAUUCUCCGUUGCAGUGCUUCCAAGUGCUUCCAAUUCUGCAGGUUGAAGUGAUAAUCAUCUCAACUGAUUCUUAUUUCAUAGAAAUUGUGUUUCACACGUAAGGUGAAUCAUGACGCCAAAAAUCAUCUAGCAUACAUAUAUUUUGGCUCAAGGCCUCGAUAUAUUCGCUAAUGAUUUUAAAAUGUAUCUAAAGUAACACUUUUUUUUAAUAAACCAUAAUCACUUAAUAAAAAAUAUAAUACUUUUAGAAAAUCUGAACCAAUUGCAUGAAAGCACAUGUGAUAAUGGUAAAUAAACAAUCAAUCAUAUAUAGGUUCUUUCUCUAUACCCUCUCUGAAUUUUUGAGAGAGAGAGAGAAAGAGAAAGAAUGAAACCUUUUUUUUUAUCUUAGAUCAUUAUCUGUUCUUCUUCCGGUGUAUCUGGAUCUUUAAUUCCGCCGCGGAACUUUUGUUUCCGUUUUGUCCGGGUUAUAUAUCCCUCUUUCGCAAAACGAUUUCCAUCCUGUUUUUUCUUUGUUUGCAUUUCAUCUUCUCCGAUCAUGCUCAUAUUCCUUUUUUAACCGAGUCUAAUUUUUUCUCUUCUUAAGCUUAUUUUUCUCGGAUGAAAAGAUGAAGAGGUAUUGGAUUUAACUUGAUCUAUGGAAAAAUUCAGUAAAGUUGCCAUCUUUAGUUGAAGAUGAUCCAAUAUAGGAUAUGCUCUAAAUCGGUUAAGCUUUUCCUUUUUAAACAAUCGGCGGUAGUAUAAUUUCUAACAGAAAGCAGCGGUUGAUUGCGAAAGAAUGAGUUCAAUGAAUACAAAUCCAGGAUACAAUGAAGAGUUGAGGAAGGGAAGAUGAAGCUGUGUCGGCGGUUCAUGGUCGGACUCACUGGAAAUGAACGUCGUGAAGCUUGCCAGCGGAACUGAAGUUUCAAUAUGAAUGUUUCUUUCCUGACAUGUGUUGUACGUAGUAUUUUCUGUUAAGCAUCCACAUGCAAUGUUUUAUAUUUUUUAUAUAUUAUUUUAUCAACUUAAAUUUAUUAAUAACGUAAAAUACAGUUAUAUACAUGAUAACGAAAAAACAACACAUGCCAUAAUUUAAAUUAGGUCAAAUAAAAUAAGCUGAGAAGAGUAUUUCCUUUGAGGGGUCACUGUUAAUAGAGUGUCAACUCUAUUAAUUUUCUUGCAAUUUGUAAAUCUUAGCUGCAUUGUAAAGCAUCCUUCUCUUUAUUUUAUUACACUGGUGUUAUUCCAAUUUAGAUCCAUAUAUAUUUUUUGGUUUAAAAUCUAAUAUAUUGAUUCAAUCAUAAAAAAUAAGAAUUAAAAAAAUAAUUUAUAACGAUUGCACGAAUAUUCUCAUACAACAAAAAGAUACUUCUUCCACUUCGUAUUGUUGCUUUCUCUUUGAUGUAUUUCAUGAUUUUAGUGAUAUGUUUUGAUACCAAGUAUAUGUAUCAAAACGUAAAUUCGAAACAUUAUUCCUUGAUUGAAAGAAAACUUCUUUUGAUCUCGAACUCCUCUUCCGCUUGUUGAAUCCAUGGUGGUUUUUAGUGCACGUUGUUUCCUUAACAAAUAUGUUAAGAUUUGUUUCAAACACCAGAAAGUUAUUAUGUAAGUAUGAUAACCACCAAAACCUCUUGAUUCUGCAUUCAACCCAAAACAACCAGCCGGAUAUUGUAACAGCAAAUUGGAAAACAGAAUUGAAUCUGCCACAAGUAGAAUUGGAAAACUUUUCAACUAGAGAGAAGACGAAGGACACAUAAGUAUCGUGAUACUCCAUUGGCGCAUUUAUUCAUGCCUGGACCAAAAGCAAUAGGAAAAUUGAGAGAAGAAGACAACGUGUUCAAAACGCCACUAACCACUUUGUUGUUGCCUAGUGGCUUUUUGUAGUAUGUAUUGCUUAUCAAGAUUUAUACCACUUGACUCGUGAGAUAUUAAUAAAACAUAAAGUUGACCCAAAAAAAAAGAAAGAUGUUAACAAUAUCCCAAAGUUUCAUAAUGAGAAUUUUUUGUAAUUUUCUCUCUUAACUUCUGUAGUUGUUCUUUCUGAAAUUGAUAAGAGAUACCAUAUGAUUUUCUGCCAAUGGAGAAGGUCUAGUCAUCUCUAUUCUCGUUUCCACUCCUAAGACUUACCUUAAAUACAAUUUUUCCACACAUAAAAAUGUCCCUAUUCCCUAAUUCUCUGUCGUCUUAACUUAUGAUCCUUAUUGUUCUAUCAUCCCGACAAAACGAAAUUCCAUUCACCGUAGCUUUAAGUAGAUAAAUAAACACACGGAGUAGACAUUGUUGGAUAUAAAAGACUAAAUUGUAGACAGUGUAGAAAUUUCAUGGAAACCGUUCUUCUUUUUCUUGGUCUCAAAAGUCAGUCAACGGUGGACCCGUAGUAGACUCACUCACCACAGCACCACCCAUGGUUUUGUCAUCAAUUAUACGCUCAUCAUUUCUUAUUUUCGUUUUCGUCAUCAUACACUCUUCUUCUCCUAUCUUCAUCUCCCUCAUUCUCAAUCCUUCAACAGUUCUCAUAUUUCAGUUCCAAUGAUCAGUCACGCUCUGUUAGUCAUCUGUAUUCUCGUUUCCGCUGCCGUCCUAGGAGAUGCAACAGCAGCAUACAAGCCUACCGAUCUCUUUCUCAUCAACUGUGGCACUAGCUCUGACACCAUAGACUCUCAAAGCCAAACAUGGACGUCGGAUCAGCAGCAUCUUCUCACGUCAAAUUUAGACAACGUUUCGUUCUCUUCAAAUGCAUCUUACCAAGAAGAGGUUCCUCAAGUGCCCUACACGACGGCUCGCGUAUUCCUAUCCAACGUUGACUACAGUUUUCCAGUCUCUCCCGGCUGGAAAUAUCUCCGGUUGUACUUUUACCCGACCCGGUACGAAUCUGGUUUUGACGCCGCAAGUUCCUUCUUCUCAGUCACAGUUAACGGUUUCACUCUCUUGAAGAACUUCAGCGCCGACUUAACGGUAAAAGCUUCCAAGUCGAAAUCCUUAAUCAAAGAGUUUAUCGUUCCGGUUAACCAGACUCUGAAUCUCACGUUCACGCCGUCUCCGAGUUCGUUAGCUUUCGUUAACGGCAUCGAGAUUGUCUCCAUGCCUGACGGGAGUUACUCAAAGGGAGGCUUUGACAAUAUGAUAACGAACGUUGGUAGUACCAUUGACUUCAUUAUCAAAAACACUACCGCUUUCGAGACUGUUCAUCGGAUAAACGUUGGCGGGCAAAUGGUGGAUGAGGUCGGUGACACUGGAAUGUUCCGGCGGUGGCUUCCGGAUGAUGAUGUCAUACUAAGUGAGAAUUCAGGAAUGAAACCGGAUGUAACGGGUGUGAAGAUAAACUACACAGAUAAGACUCCCCUUUAUGUCGCGCCGGAAGAUGUGUACAAGACGUAUCGUACGAUGGGGAACGUCGGCUACCCAAGGCUGAACCUGAACUUCAAUCUGACGUGGCUCUUCCCAGUUGAUGCCGGGUUUCUAUACCUAGUAAGGCUUCAUUUCUGUGAGACUCUAUCGGAUGUGAACGGAUCUAACCAACGUGUCUUCACCAUCUUCAUUGGAAAUAAGAUUGCAAUGCUUGACAUGGAUGUCAUUCAGCUGAGCGGUGGUUCUCGCAUUCCGGUGUAUCUAGACUUCAGUGUGCUUGUUGGUUUUGAAAGUGGGCCGAGACCUGAUCUACGACUUGACUUGCAUCCUUACACGGA